AAGCUUCCCCUCCUCUGUUUCGUCUCACUAGAGGCGCCGGCUUCAGUCUCGAUCACGUGGCGCCUCGGCAGAAAUUGAUCUCUCUGAUAAGCGGAAAUUAAGAACAGCAAUUGACCAACACGUAAUUAUCCCCGUCGAUAUUACAAUGAGCACCAUUAAAAACUGUUCGAUAGUUGUGCACGUUCUCGUAUCGAGAUUAUACUCGUGCAAUAAAUAUAUCAAGCAAUUUGUGUAAGUGCUAUACGAUUUUAACGAAACAACGUAUAUAUGUAUAUAUAUAUAUAUGUAUAUAUAGAUACACGAAUGAUUCAGAGUCAAAUUGGCCAAUGAAUCGCAGCGAUGAACCGAUCGAGUGAUUGGUGGAUGAUCGAAGAAAAAUCGAUGGCGAGAGAUCGAAGGGAAAAAAGUGGCGCCCACGCUGAGAAUGAUCGGUCGAAGAUCUCGGCGAUCUCUCGAAACGGCGUCCUCUCGAACGCUCCUCGAUGGGAGGAGCUGCUUGGUCGCGGAUUUUAAUGGCGGAUUUUUGCGACUCGCCAAUCGCACACGACACGAGACACCGUCCACCGUUUCCCGCUCCGUGAUUCAACGAUUCGACGAUUUCACCGCGAAGAGAGGAGAGAUAUACAUCGUGGCGAGUUACGUGAUUUGAUUUGAGGAGAGCUCCUCGAAGCGAGCGCGCGUGGGACACGCGCUCUGCCUUGUCGCGUGCCUCGCCACGUUCAUGCUGGUUCUCAACCUGCGCCUCGAUACUCGAUGCUUCGAUUAAUCGCGAUCGCUGAGCGGGAACUGUCGCCAUCAUUCUUGCGCGAUUCACGUGUUUCGAUAGGAAUGGAACGACACUUUGGAUUUUCGCCAAGCUGUGUUUUAUAUCUUACAGUGGUAGAAAUUUAUCCAGGUUAUGAUAGGUACGUUGAAAGCGAGCAACGUUCCAACGAAACGAAAUCUUACGAGAGAUUUUCUACGGGGUUUGACACGUAAUAAUACAUUUCGACACUGAAAUGAUAUCAUCGCUCACAGAAACGGAUUCAGUCAUUUGUGGCAACUCGCGUUCAUCUCUUUCGUGUCGUGGUAAGUGCUUCUGCGAUACAACUUGCAAAUCUUCUAAUGUUAUGACAUUUGAAAAUAAUCAAAGUAUACGACCUCGUAAUAUAAAGUGUAUUUUACCGUGUCGCGUUGCGUGUAACAUUAAGAUCGAAAUAACGAUUUCAUAAUGACACAAUCAUUUAUAUUUUCAUUCAGUUUCAAAUUGCGUACCCAUAUGUGACUUUGAAAAGGGAAUCUCGAAAAGGGAAUUCUUCGAUUAUAACGACCAUAGCCAUAUUUGACUUUCAUUCGACUUUUAAAAUUUGGAUUUUUUUAUUAAAUGAAUUAAUAAACAAUAUCCAAGUUAUAAAGUAGCUCUGUGAAGUUGUGUAGAAACUAAUGGCGUAGGAAUCGAGAUAGCGUAGGUACUCGGAUGCCUGCCGUCGGAGAACAAGGAGAAAGGUACGUGGAUAAAUUGCCUAUGCCGUUUACAGGCGAGUCGGGCUUGAGAACAGCCUAAUUACCGCGUUUACGCACUGCGUAACGUGCACGAAGUAUCGCUCGAUCGCUUGGACAAAUUGGACAUGCGUGAUGUUUUCAUUUUCAUGAAACUGCCGCGGAAACUGGAGGCGUCCAAUUCUCCGAAACAAGGAUGAAUGAAUUUCGAGAUAAAUGGAACUCGAUCGUAACUUUAAAAAUUCAAAUAUCAAAUUUUUAUUCGAUAUAUACUACGCGUGAUUACCAACACCGCGAACCACGUCUCGAUACUCCAUCGAGACCACUCCAUCAUUUACUUUUUAAAAAGUCGAACGAUAAAAUCAUACGUUGCGAUGCUGAAAAUUGAAAUUU
This 1872-nucleotide long non-coding RNA is filed under the name Apis dorsata (giant honeybee). RNAcentral's name for it is "uncharacterized LOC116185813". The record is from RNAcentral. Lineage: Eukaryota; Metazoa; Arthropoda; Insecta; Hymenoptera; Apidae.